UCGGAUAUGGUGUAACGGCUAACAUUGCCGCCUCUCAUAUCAGAGAGUUUGCCCGCGGCAGCUCGGGGUUCGAUUCCCCGUAUCCGAA
RNAcentral lists this transfer RNA (88 nucleotides) under Coprinopsis cinerea okayama7#130. It matches the Rfam family "tRNA". Rfam says of the family: Transfer RNA (tRNA) molecules are approximately 80 nucleotides in length. Their secondary structure includes four short double-helical elements and three loops (D, anti-codon, and T loops). Further hydrogen bonds mediate the characteristic L-shaped molecular structure. tRNAs have two regions of fundamental functional importance: the anti-codon, which is responsible for specific mRNA codon recognition, and the 3' end, to which the tRNAs corresponding amino acid is attached (by aminoacyl-tRNA synthetases). tRNAs cope with the degeneracy of the genetic code in two manners: having more than one tRNA (with a specific anti-codon) for a particular amino acid; and 'wobble' base-pairing, i.e. permitting non-standard base-pairing at the 3rd anti-codon position. RNAcentral also lists the same sequence under 1 other name. Lineage: Eukaryota; Fungi; Basidiomycota; Agaricomycetes; Agaricales; Psathyrellaceae. The record is from Rfam by way of RNAcentral.